AACGUACGCUGGCGGCACGCCUAACACAUGCAAGUCGAACGAAGUAGCAAUACUUAGUGGCAGACGGGUGAGUAACAUGUGGGUAUCUGCCCUUUGGCCUGGAAUAACACGAGGAAACUUGUGCUAAUACCGGAUAAGUCUUUACGGAGAAAGCUUUAUGCACCAUUGGAUGAGCCCGCACUUGAUUAGUUUGUUGGUGGGGUAAUGGCCUACCAAGACUGUGAUCAAUAGCUGAUUUGAGAGGAUGAUCAGCCACAUUGGGACUGAGACACGGCCCAAACUCCUACGGGAGGCAGCAGUGGGGAAUCUUGCAUAAUGGAGGAAACUCUGAUGCAGCGAUGCCGCGUGAGUGAAGAAGGCCCUUGGGUUGUAAAGCUCUUUCGUCGGGGAAGAAAAUGACUGUACCCGAAUAAGAAGGUCCGGCUAACUUCGUGCCAGCAGCCGCGGUAAUACGAAGGGACCUAGCGUAGUUCGGAAUUACUGGGCUUAAAGAGUUCGUAGGUGGUUGAAAAAGUUAGUGGUGAAAUCCCAGAGCUUAACUCUGGAACUGCCAUUAAAACUUUUCAGCUAGAGUAUGAUAGAGGAAAGCAGAAUUUCUAGUGUAGAGGUGAAAUUCGUAGAUAUUAGAAAGAAUACCAAUUGCGAAGGCAGCUUUCUGGAUCAUUACUGACACUGAGGAACGAAAGCAUGGGUAGCGAAGAGGAUUAGAUACCCUCGUAGUCCAUGCCGUAAACGAUGUGUGUUAGACGUUGGAAAUUUAUUUUCAGUGUCGCAGCGAAAGCGAUAAACACACCGCCUGGGGAGUACGACCGCAAGGUUAAAACUCAAAUGAAUUGACGGGGACCCGCACAAGUAGUGGAGCAUGUGGUUUAAUUCGAAGAUACGCGCAGAACCUUACCAACACUUGACAUGUUCGUCGUGACUUUAAGAGAUUAGAGUUUUCGGUUCGGCCGGACGAAACACAGGUGCUGCAUGGCUGUCGUCAGCUCGUGUCGUGAGAUGUUGGGUUAAGUCCCGCAACGAGCGCAACCCUCACUUUUAGUUGCCAUCAUUAAGUUGGGCACUCUGAAAGAACUGCCAGUGAUAAGCUGGAGGAAGGUGGGGAUGACGUCAAGUCCUCAUGGCCCUUACGUGUUGGGCUACACACGUGCUACAAUGGUAUCUACAACAGGAAGCAAGACUGCGAGGUCAAGCAAAUCCUUAAAAGAUACCUCAGUUCGGAUUGCACUCUGCAACUCGAGUGCAUGAAGCUGGAAUUACUAGUAAUCGUGGAUCAGCGUGCCACGGUGAAUGCGUUCCCGGGUCU
Molecule: ribosomal RNA, 1306 nt
Filed under: uncultured bacterium
Lineage: Bacteria
Description: bacterial SSU rRNA
Rfam family: Bacterial small subunit ribosomal RNA
Source: RNAcentral